This 574-nucleotide ribosomal RNA is filed under the name Paracoccus aminovorans. RNAcentral describes it as "partial 16S ribosomal RNA". The record is from RNAcentral. Lineage: Bacteria; Pseudomonadati; Pseudomonadota; Alphaproteobacteria; Rhodobacterales; Paracoccaceae.
GGUGUGACACCGAACAGCAUGCUGCCCGACGUCUGGCAUUCAUCGUUUACGGCGUGGACUACCAGGGUAUCUAAUCCUGCUUGCUCCCCACGCUUUCGCACCUCAGCGUCAGUAUCGAGCCAGUGAGCCGCCUUCGCCACUGGUGUUCCUCCGAAUAUCUACGAAUUUCACCUCUACACUCGGAAUUCCACUCACCUCUCUCGAACUCCAGACCAAUAGUUUUGAAGGCAGUUCCGAGGUUGAGCCCCGGGAUUUCACCCCCAACUUUCUGGUCCGCCUACGUGCGCUUUACGCCCAGUAAUUCCGAACAACGCUAGCCCCCUCCGUAUUACCGCGGCUGCUGGCACGGAGUUAGCCGGGGCUUCUUCUGCUGGUACCGUCAUUAUCUUCCCAGCUGAAAGAGCUUUACAACCCUAAGGCCUUCAUCACUCACGCGGCAUGGCUAGAUCAGGGUUGCCCCCAUUGUCUAAGAUUCCCCACUGCUGCCUCCCGUAGGAGUCUGGGCCGUGUUUCAGUCCCAGUGUGGCUGAUCAUCCUCUCAAACCAGCUAUGGAUCGUCGGCUUGGUAGGCCAU